Molecule: non-coding RNA, 102 nt
Organism: Mycena olivaceomarginata
Lineage: Eukaryota; Fungi; Basidiomycota; Agaricomycetes; Agaricales; Mycenaceae
Source: the annotation of a GenBank genome assembly
GUGCCCUUGGUGUACGGUAACACAUGUCUUCAUGGUAUCAUCUCGUGGUUAUCCAGGUACCUAAUUCAAGACGAGUCCGGGGUUCGACUCCCCAAGGGCGUA